GAAGAAUUUUGUGCCUCUUGGUAUUUCAGUCCUGCUUUUGCUGUUAGUGACCUCAUAAUCAAGCUUUACCAAUAUGUCAUAUCCCAGCCUGUGUUGCUCAGUGUCCUACAUCCUGAGCACCAAUCACUGGGGUGCUUGUUACAAUCAGAGAUACCUGUACUUACUCUUCCAGAGCUGCUGGCUUGGGAAGAGUGGGACUCUCAAAUCUCCUUAUUUUGAAAAAGCCUUGGGAUGUAAAUGGGCCAAUGCAUCCCAACCAUGCAGGUCCUGACAUGCAUCUUGCAGAUGAGGAAACUGAGGCACAGCUAAUUGAUGGCAGAGCCAGAAUUCACAUCCAGAGACUUUAACUUUGGCCCAAAUCAUGUUAACUAUGUUGUGGCCUUUUAGUGGUUACCAAUUGCUUCAUAAUUUUCAUUCAAAAUUAUGUCUAAGAUAUACACUUUUUAUGUUUCUUCCACUGACAAUAUCUUAGCUGGGAAUCAGAGUUUUAAGAGCAAAAUAAAUGAGAAAGGAUUUGAUUGCCCUCCAA
Long non-coding RNA from Canis lupus familiaris (dog), 529 nucleotides. RefSeq lists it as uncharacterized. The transcript is spliced from 2 exons. NCBI's taxonomy places the organism in Eukaryota, Metazoa, Chordata, Mammalia, Carnivora, Canidae. The record is from RefSeq and is a predicted model, not a curated record.